This 503-nucleotide long non-coding RNA is filed under the name Mytilus galloprovincialis (Mediterranean mussel). Lineage: Eukaryota; Metazoa; Mollusca; Bivalvia; Mytilida; Mytilidae. The record is from RNAcentral.
GUUCUGUGAUUUUCUCUAAAACCAAACUGACAAUCACUUAAUUGUUUGUCAACAAUCUUGAUUAGUCUAUUAUUCAAUAUGGCAUUAAAAUUUUUUGGUAGAUUACUUAUAAGAGAAAUUCCUCUAUAAUUAUUAGGGUCUAACUUGUCACCUUUUUUAUGUAAAGGGAUCAUGAAAGAUAAUUUCCAAGAAUCUGGAUAAUUACCUGUCUUUAAAAUCAAAUUAAAAACUUUUACAAUAGAACUAAUUAUCACAGGUUGUGAGUGUUUGAGUAUUUCAUUCACAAUUCUAUCUGGGCCUGCUGAUUUGUUUAUUUUAAGGUUUGAAAUGACCAAUUUUACCUCAGCAAAUGUAAUUGGUGCAUCAGUUUCCAUAUUCAAUUCAAAAUUAUCUUCUAGAAUGUUUAGUUCACGUUCCAGUUUAUUUACAAAGGAUUUAUCAUAUGAGGCUGGUGUACCCUGAUCCUGAAAAUGUUUUAUGAUUUUAUUUUCAUUCAUUAAAAU